AGAAGCAUAUUUAGAUGUUCG
Molecule: non-coding RNA, 21 nt
Organism: Caenorhabditis elegans
Lineage: Eukaryota; Metazoa; Nematoda; Chromadorea; Rhabditida; Rhabditidae
Source: Ensembl